Molecule: unclassified non-coding RNA, 356 nt
Filed under: Hevea brasiliensis (rubber tree)
Lineage: Eukaryota; Viridiplantae; Streptophyta; Magnoliopsida; Malpighiales; Euphorbiaceae
Source: RNAcentral
UACACACACACCUCAACUAUUUCACGGGAUACCUGCUACCUCCCACAGCCACAAACACAACAAAGUACUAGUUAACACUGACUAAUUCAAGAAUCCCCCAUGAACAACGUUCAACCACUCAAGUAAUCACAAAUUCAAAACCCCAGAUAUCAUACUCAACCCAUUAUCUCCAGUGAGUUGCAAAUUCAGAUUCCACAAGCAAAAACAAACACAAAAAAAAUUGGAAGUUUAUAUGUAAAAAUCUGAUCUUUUACCACAAACUCCCCAUAACUCCUCAAAACUAAUCAAAUUCACUUGAGGAAACAAUAAAAUCCACUGACCCAUAUAUCAAAAUCAAUUCUUUACCUCAAAUCAAG